AUACAUAGGGGGCAAGCGUUAUCCGGAAUUAUUGGGCGUAAAGCGUGCGUAGGCGGUUUAUUAAGUCUGAUGUUAAAUCCCACAGCUCAGCUGUGGGCUGCCAUUGGAAACUGGUAGACUUGAGUGCGGUAGAGGUAAGUGGAAUUCCAAGUGGAGCGGUGGAAUGCGUAGAUAUUUGGAGGAACACCAGUGGCGAAGGCGGCUUACUGGGCCGUUACUGACGCUGAGGCACGAAAGCUUGGGGAGCAAACAGGAUUAGAUACCCUGGUAGUCCACGCCGUAAACGAUGAGCACUAAGUGUCGGAUGAAUUUUCGGCGCUGCAGUUAACACAAUAAGUGCUCCGCCUGGGGAGUACGGUCGCAAGACUGAAACUUAAAUGAAUUGACGGGG
This 391-nucleotide ribosomal RNA is filed under the name uncultured bacterium. Its description in RNAcentral is "partial 16S ribosomal RNA". It matches the Rfam family "Bacterial small subunit ribosomal RNA", at positions 523 to 918 of the family's 1533-position model. The record is from RNAcentral.